RNAcentral lists this long non-coding RNA (261 nucleotides) under Amborella trichopoda. RNAcentral's name for it is "long non-coding RNA (ATRI_LNC003610)". Lineage: Eukaryota; Viridiplantae; Streptophyta; Magnoliopsida; Amborellales; Amborellaceae. The record is from RNAcentral.
GUACGCCCUGCCUUUUUCAUGGCUAGGAUUUAGUCUUUGAAUGAGGGCCGUUCUGGACAAGAUUUUAGACAAGGGUGGUUCAUGGGGAACGCGGGCCUCACUAUACAUAUGGGAUUUGAGCUUUGAUCCCAAACAAGAAAGACCGACAGACUUUCUUAGGGUGAAAUUACCAUUUAUACCGUAGAACUUCUGGCAACCGAGGAAACCGCUUCCUCAAGAUAUCUGAAGUGACAGCUACAUGGGCAAACCUAUCUUAUUCAC